This 373-nucleotide long non-coding RNA is filed under the name Homo sapiens (human). RNAcentral's name for it is "HSALNT0108731". Lineage: Eukaryota; Metazoa; Chordata; Mammalia; Primates; Hominidae. The record is from RNAcentral.
UCUUUUCGGACUCAGCCCGCCUGCACCCAGGUGAAAUAAACAGCCUUGUUGCUCACACAAAACCUGUUUGGUGGUCUCUUCACACGGAUGCGCGUGAAACCCUAUACAUACUGACAGAAUAUAUUUUGCACUACAAAAGAAGAAAUCCAAGCUUGUGAAUUUGGAAGUUUAUGUAGAUAUUGCUCUACACAUACCACUCUCUUCUCUAAAGUAAGCUGAGUUUUCUCUGAGAAGAAAAAGGUGAAGAUCCCUGCCCUCAUUAUGCAAGCACUUGGCACCGGAGAAGAAAAGUUUUAUUGCCCUUUGAAUGGAAGCAGAUGGCUCCAGGUCUGACACUUGGCCAAUGGAGCUGUUGAAUGGUGGUGGAGCCAAC